This is a long non-coding RNA of Anguilla rostrata (American eel), 2034 nucleotides long. RefSeq lists it as uncharacterized. The record is from RefSeq and is a predicted model, not a curated record. The transcript is spliced from 2 exons. Lineage: Eukaryota; Metazoa; Chordata; Actinopteri; Anguilliformes; Anguillidae.
UUCAGAAAAUGGAGGGAAAAGGUAGCAAUAGGAAGGGCGUGGCUGGUUAAGGUGGAGGGCACAAUCAAAGAACUAGGAAGUCGGUGUUUAGAGGCCUAGUUUUAUCUCUGUCUCAAGUAGCAGAUCUGCUAAAAAGUCUUGAGAAAACAUUUGUAACACAAGGUUGAAGAUUUAUGUUUCUGUGGAUAACUGGAUUCGUUGGAUUGCCCUGACUGUUGACACACUCAUCGUGGGACCCUACAAGUGGUGGAGACUUGGAAGUACCUCCAUCCAUCUCUGAUGAAUGAUGCAGCUUCAAGCCAGACUGUGGGGCCCGUGCAUCCGCGAACUAGAUCCGCGCCUGGACAGGAUACAGCAUCUCCGUUCGGCUGUUCAGUGCCUGUCGAGGGGGUCAUGCGCUUGCACUGCUGCAUUUUUAUUAUACCAGCUGUGCAUUUCACCUUGCUUUCAUAUGAUACAUUGUGCAUCGCGUAUAAAUAGUAAAAAAAAAAAAUCCAAUGAACUUGUGUUUAUCGACUCGCUUGCAAAUAGAGAGAUUUGAAGGAAAUUGUUUUCAUCAUUCGCCAUGCCCUUUCACUGGGCGAGGCUCGAGCCCGAUGGCUGCUGUAAAUAUUAAUUUCACCGCGUUCGCCGCAUCGCGUUCUGACUAGGGCACCUGCGGCCCUCAUGUAGCGUUCCUCCCGAUUGUUUCCAGAACACGUGAGAAGAGUGCAGUUAUAAUGGGGGGACAUGUAUUAAGCAAAUGGAACAUCCUUGCUCAGCGAAUCUUCAGUUUCAAUUAGACGUGACAAAUGUGGAGAGGCGGGUCCAGAGCAGAUCGUGUGUCCUCGCUGACACCUCCUCCAGGAGUCUCCGCGUUCCUCCAAGGAGAAUUUGACGGGUUGGAAUGUCCUUAAAGAUGGUGACCCGUAAUUGAUUUCCGGGUCAGGCGAGGGUGGAUAACGUGCGCGCCGGGUAUGAACCCCUAGUUUUCCCCGGGGGUUCAGAACUGAGCAAGAGAAGGACAGCCCACUUGAACAUGACCCACAAGGAUGAACGGAGGGGACCUGGACCCCCACACGCAAUAAUCUUGCUUCUCCCUCCCCUCGCCUCCCCCCUCCCCCCCCCCUUGAAACUGGAAUCUACGAGGGGGGUCCCUGAUAGCGACAUUGACAGGACCUUGUAACGAUGUGCGCGGGGGGGGGGAAGCGAUAUUUCACUUUAUUGCGUGAUUGUUCUCGCGCGCCGCGGUACAAUGAAGCGAACGUUCACCGAGGAGCGAAUCAAUCGCGCGGCCCUGUGGUUUUCCAUCUCGGACGCAGCGGUGCACUACUCCGAGAGAUCGCUUUCCCGCGCCCUCGCGCCCGCCACCCGUUUCUCCGUAUCCACUACCGACGCGGAACCUCAAUACAGAGGAAAAAGGCUCUCGGGGCGAAGGAAUGUUGAGUGCGGUUCGGCGCGGGGCUGCCGCGAACCCGCUGCUGAGCUGUGAGAGCCCUGCGCGUUGCUGUGAAGCACCUGUGCCUCUCUCACAGUAAGGGGGCCGUAUCUGGGGCCGCGGGGCGCGACGGUGAGCGCUUCACCUGGACAACCCAGCCGCCAACAACUACAAAACGGGUUUAUCAAUAACAUAACUGAGUUAGAUACUCGGACACAGAGUUCAGUUUCCCUUCUGGAAAAUGUAAAUCUUUUUUUUGUCAUUUCUGAAUUUCAUUUAUCGUCUUUGCUAUUGACACAGAAUGUGUGCCCACUCAAAUUAAAUAUGCUUCUUGGUUUAAUAAUAAUAACUCAGUCUAUCACCAUGAUUUGAAUUAUCAUAUUUAUAAUGCUAUUGUCCAUUCAUGCUAAAUUGAGAAACCAUCUCCGCACUGUUAGACAGUCACCUUGUAUCUAGAAUACAAAUGACUUCAUUUCAGUUUAGCCACACCACAUAAUGGUUUUGUCACAGGGCAUUCUCAGAUAACAAAACAAGCUAUUAGUUGUUGAGUUAUGAGAAAUUGACUCUAUGUAGGGCUGUUUGAGAACUUUAUGUAACAGAUGAAAUAAGACAUGACA